Carica papaya (papaya) is the source of this 3421-nucleotide long non-coding RNA. RefSeq lists it as uncharacterized. NCBI's taxonomy places the organism in Eukaryota, Viridiplantae, Streptophyta, Magnoliopsida, Brassicales, Caricaceae. The record is from RefSeq and is a predicted model, not a curated record.
UCGGGUUGAAACCUGUCCACCACAGCAGCUUUACCUGAACAAGCCCCGUGUGCCCUAAUCGUUACGACACCUGCACCAAAACGCCUCUCGUGGGAGGAAAUGCAACGCUGGCGAUCCCAAGGGUUGUGCUUCAAUUACGAUAAGAAGUUUACAAUCGGCCAUUGUUGCCGCAAACCUCAACUACUGUUGCUCGAUGGUGGGGGAACGAAAUCGAAGAUGAAAUAGAGCCAGCGACCAAAGAACCUGAGAUCUCCCUCCACGCACUCAUUGGGUGGUCAUAAGCCUGGACGGUACGCGUCCCAACAACUAUACAAAGGCGAAAGGUGGUGGCCCUCAUUGAUAACAGGUCCACGCACAACUUUAUCAGUGAUAAGGUCGCGCACCAAUCACAGCUUCAGGUGGUGCGGACCGCUCCCUUCUAGGUUAAAGUAGCCAACGAAUAGCCACUAAAAUGGCAAGAAAGGUUCGAAAAUGUCAAGGUUGACAUCCAAGUUAAUAUACAGACCACCUAGGCAAGGAUUGUGCCAGUGGCUGAAAGGGAUAUCCAGCAGCUGUUAGAUGAGUUUGUCGAUAUUUUUCAAGAACCCAACACACUUCCACUGACCCAGGACAUCGAUCAUCAUAUUACACUAAAAGAAGGGACAUAACAUGUUAAUGUUAGACCCUAUCGAUAUGCUUAGUUUCAGAAGGCAAAAAUUGAGCAACAAGUACAAAGUAUGCUGGAUAUGGGUAUCAUUAAGCCGAGCAUCAGUCCCUUUUCAUCACCAGUCCUGCUAGUGAAGAAGAAGGAUGGUACUUGGAGAUUCAAUACGGAUUAUCGCAUGCUGAAUUUAUUCACCAUUAAAGAUCGUUUCCUCAUGCCAACCGUCGAGGACAUGAUAGAAGAGUUGCGUGGCACUACCUUCUUCACCAAAUUGGACUUUACAUCAGGCUACCACCAAGUUCGAGUAUACCCACCAGACACAACAAAUACAGCCUUCAGAACUCAUAACGGGCACUACGAAUACCCCGUAACGCCAUUCAGUCUUUGCAACGCCCCAUCUACAUUUUAAGCCAUUAUGAACACCAUAUUUCGGCCACAUUUGAAAAAGUUUAUCUUGGUUUUCUUCGAUGACAUAGUGGUAUGUAGUCCUAACUGGACUUCUCACUUAGGGACACCUAAGGUAGACUUUCUAAAUCUUAAGGCAAUAUAAAUUCUUCGUCAAGAUAAAAAAGUGUGUUUGGACAACAAAAGUUGGAAUACAUGGGGCACAUCAUCACUCCACAAGGGGUUAAGGUGGAUCAAGAAAAGAUGCAAGCUAUGUUAGAUUGGCAUAAACCAACAACUAUUACAGAGCUACGGGAAUUUAUAAACCUUACAAGAUAUUAUCGGAAGUUUAUACUCAAUUAUGGAAUCUUGGCCAAGCCCCUCACGCAGCUACUAAAAAAUGGACAAUUCAAAUAGAUUGAGGAGGCUGAAAUGACAUUCAAACAACUUAAACAGACCAUGACAUCCACCCUUACUUUGACUCUCCCAAAUCAGUGAGUCAUUCACCAUAAAAAUAGAUGUUUCAAGAAAAGGAAUUGGCAUCGUCCUCAACCAAAAUGAGAAGCCAAUUGCCUAUAUGAGUCGGGCACUAGGGACGACCAAACAAGUGUGGUCCACAUAUGCUAAGGAAAUGUUAGCCGUUGUCAUUUUCGUUCAGACUUGGAGAUCAUAUCUGUUGGGGCAUAAAUUUGUGACAAGAAUUGACCACCAGAGCUUAAAACAUCUCUUGAACCAGCGUCACCACACCUAAACAGUAAAAAUGGAUAUCUAAACUUUUUGGGUAUGAUUAUGAAAUUGUUUAUAAGCCUGAUAAGGAAAAUAAAGCAGCAAAUGCCCUCUCAUGAUAACCUGACGAAUCCUCGUUGGAUGCUUUAUUUGCUUGUGAAAAUCAUAUUUGGAAUGACAUAAAAAAGGAAUUAGUAAGUCACCCCUAUAUGCAGAAAAUAAUAGGCAACUUAGCCACAGCCAACCCCGACAGUCCAUAUUAAUGGAGAAACGGUCUCCUGCACUACAAAAACCAUGUAAUAAUCUAUUUAGGGUCCAAAAUCAUUCUGCAGUUGCUAUAAGCUUACCAUGACUCCCCGUUGGGAUGAUAUUCCGGGGUCCUAAGGAUUUACAAACGGCUGGCAUAAAAACUUUAUUGGCCAACUAUAAGACAAGGCAUACAACAAUAUGUGGCAACACGUGAAACAUGCUAAAGGGUUAAAUCUGAGACUCUUGCACCUGCCGGAUUACUACAACCUCUUCUCAUUCCGUGUCAAGUUUGGGAUGACAUCUCUAUGAACUUCAUAUAAGGGCUAUCAAACUCUAAUAAAAAGGAUACCAUCUUUGUGAUAGUUGAUAGGUUGAGCAAAUUAGCACAUUUCCUAGCACUAUCCCACCCCUACACUGCCAUAUCAGUAGCUGAAAAGUUUGUUUAAGGAGUAGUUAAACUCCACGCCAUGCCACGAACCAUUGUUAGCGACAGAGAUCAAAUUUUUAUCAGUCACUUUUGAAAUGAAUUUUUCAAAAUAUCAGGAACCCAAUCGAAAAUGAGUUCUGUAUAUCACCCCCAAACGAAUGGAUAAUCUAAAGUUGUCAAUAGAUGUUUGGAACAAUACCAAAAAUGUCUAACCCACCAGCAGCCCCAGAAAUGGCAUUCUCUACUCCCAUGGGCAGAAUUUUGGUAUAACACCACUCACCACUCUUCUAUUGGAAUGAUGUCUUUUCAAGUCCUCUAUGAUCGGCCACCCCCAAGCAUUUCGUUCUAUCAUAAGGGUAGCACAAUUAUUAAUGAUGUUGACCAGCAAUUAACAUAAAGAAAUGACCUCCUCCAACAACUAAAAGCUAAUCUCCAUGCUGCGAACAACCGCAUGCAACAAAUCGCCGACACAAAAAAGCACAAUAUUAAAUUUCAACAAGGGGACUGGGUCUUCUUAUGACUCCAACCUUACCGCCAACAUAUUGUUUUCAAAAGAGUACUUCAAAAAUUAGCAUGUCGCUUUUACAGGUCCUACCAAAUUGAACAACGCAUCAGUGUAGUAGCAUAUAAACUCAAAUUUCCAUAAGGAUCCCGCAUUCACCCUGUUUUCCACAUUUCAUUGCUCAAACAGAAGGUUGGGGACUUAACAACCUUCCACACCAACGAGCUGCCAACGACUACUGAAGAUGGCAAUGUUAUCUUGCAUCUAGAAACCAUAUUGGACACACGCUGGGUUAAAACAAGGGUCUAAGCUCAUUGAGAAAAGUUUGAUGAAAUGGAAACACUUACCUACUGAAGACGCCAUGUGGGAAAACACCUAAGAUCUGCUGGAACAAUUUGUCUCACUAAACCUUGAGGACAAAGUUCCUGUAAAAAGGGAGAGCGAUCAUAAGCCCCGUCGAUCACAAAGGCAACCACGUCGGAACCCAAAA